This 301-nucleotide ribosomal RNA is filed under the name uncultured bacterium. Its description in RNAcentral is "partial 16S ribosomal RNA". It matches the Rfam family "Bacterial small subunit ribosomal RNA", at positions 509 to 807 of the family's 1533-position model. The record is from RNAcentral.
CAGCAGCCGCGGGAAUACGAAGGGUGCAAGCGUUACUCGGAAUUACUGGGCGUAAAGCGUGUGUAGGUGGUUGUUUAAGUCUGUCGUGAAAGCCCUGGGCUCAACCUGGGAAUUGCGAUGGAUACUGGGCGACUAGAGUGCGGUAGGGGAUAGUGGAAUUUCCGGUGUAGCAGUGAAAUGCGUAGAGAUCGGGAGGAACAUCUGUGGCGAAGGCGACUAUCUGGGCCAACACUGACACUGAGACACGAAAGCGUGGGGAGCAAACAGGAUUAGAUACCCCAGUAGUCCCUGUCUCUUAUAC